GGGAGCAAAGUGACAUAGUGGUUAGCACAUUUGUCUCGCACACCCAGGGUUGGGGGUUCAAUUCCCACCUCUUCCC
Molecule: non-coding RNA, 76 nt
Organism: Ameiurus melas (black bullhead)
Lineage: Eukaryota; Metazoa; Chordata; Actinopteri; Siluriformes; Ictaluridae
Source: the annotation of a GenBank genome assembly